Molecule: long non-coding RNA, 249 nt
Organism: Dermochelys coriacea (leatherback sea turtle)
Lineage: Eukaryota; Metazoa; Chordata; Testudines; Dermochelyidae
Exons: 3
Source: RefSeq, a predicted model, not a curated record
UAGGACCCCAGAGCUGUACCAUUAUGCCCUGGUCAAAACUCCGAUCAGUAUGAAUUUAUUAUCCAGUUUGCCUCCCCCUCAAUGUGGUGAGGAAAUGCAACAGCCUUUGCCCCUUGAGCUAAGAUUUCCAAGCACUUCAUUCAAACUCACAGGUUCAGAUAAAGCAAUAAGAAGUUUAUUAACUACAAAAGAUAGAUUAUAAGGGAUAGCAAACAGAUCAAAACAAAUUAUUUAGGAAAUAAACAAAAA